RNAcentral lists this ribosomal RNA (461 nucleotides) under uncultured bacterium. RNAcentral describes it as "bacterial SSU rRNA". It matches the Rfam family "Bacterial small subunit ribosomal RNA", at positions 29 to 537 of the family's 1533-position model. The record is from RNAcentral.
AACGAACGCUGGCGGCAUGCCUAACACAUGCAAGUCGAACGAAGGCUUCGGCCUUAGUGGCGCACGGGUGCGUAACGCGUGGGAAUCUGCCCUUGGGUUCGGAAUAACAGUGAGAAAUUACUGCUAAUACCGGAUGAUGACUUCGGUCCAAAGAUUUAUCGCCCAAGGAUGAGCCCGCGUAAGAUUAGCUAGUUGGUGAGGUAAAGGCUCACCAAGGCGACGAUCUUUAGCUGGUCUGAGAGGAUGAUCAGCCACACUGGGACUGAGACACGGCCCAGACUCCUACGGGAGGCAGCAGUUGGGAAUCUUCGGCAAUGGGCGCAAGCCUGACCGAGCAACGCCGCGUGAGUGAUGAAGGUUUUCGGAUUGUAAAGCUCUGUCUUCCGGGACGAUAAUGACGGUACCGGAGGAGGAAGCCACGGCUAACUAACGUGCCAGCAGCCGCGGUAAGCUCGUCUCUA